ACAUAUUAUAUGUAUACUUAUAAUUUAUAUCUAACACAUGUUUAUGAAACUGAAAUAAUUUCUACAGUAAUUAUUUAGUAUACAUAAUAUUAUUAGCUUUAUCAAUUUAUUUUCACUGCAAAUGACACAUAUGACUCGCAGUAAAUUAAAUUGGCUCGAACCUUAAUUCUAUCUGUCUACCAAGUAUUUGACAAUAACCAGCGUCCAUAUCACACGCAUGGAAGCUCCCUAAAAUAUUCUACUCUCCGAAGCAAUUGAUUCGGUUGUCUCUACAAUAGAUAUGUGGUAUGCCACUGAAUUUAACAUCAUUGUCCCGAAUGCGAUCGGAUUAUUCAUUUCCACAAUCGCAAUGUUAUAUUAUAGAUGAAACUUUCUUAUAUUUAAAUUUUGAAACGCGUGUGAUAUAUGAUCCAUUUACAUAAUAAUAUUAUAAUAUAUGAGCUAUAUUUCAUUGUAUCUAUUGAUUUUAAUGAUCCAAUAGACUUGUGUUCCUAAU
Non-coding RNA from Cinara cedri, 496 nucleotides. Lineage: Eukaryota; Metazoa; Arthropoda; Insecta; Hemiptera; Aphididae. The record is from the annotation of a GenBank genome assembly.